RNAcentral lists this ribosomal RNA (238 nucleotides) under uncultured bacterium. Its description in RNAcentral is "partial 16S ribosomal RNA". It matches the Rfam family "Bacterial small subunit ribosomal RNA", at positions 15 to 262 of the family's 1533-position model. The record is from RNAcentral.
GAUCAUGGCUCAGGAUGAACGUUGGCGGCGUGCCUAAUACAUGCAAGUCGAACGCUUCACUUCGGUGAAGAGUGGCGAACGGGUGAGUAAUACAUAAGUAACCUGGCAUCUACAGGGGGAUAACUGAUGGAAACGGCUGUUAAUACCGUAUAAGCGCACAGUACCGCAUGGUACAGUGUGAAAAACUCUGGUGGUAUGAGAUGGACCCGCGUCUGAUUAGCUAGUUGGCAGGGUAACG